RNAcentral lists this ribosomal RNA (569 nucleotides) under Aspergillus parasiticus. Its description in RNAcentral is "eukaryotic LSU rRNA". The stretch from base 215 to 368 matches the Rfam family "5.8S ribosomal RNA". The record is from RNAcentral. Lineage: Eukaryota; Fungi; Ascomycota; Eurotiomycetes; Eurotiales; Aspergillaceae.
GGGUGAGGUAAAAAAUCGUAACAAGGUUUCCGUAGGUGAACCUGCGGAAGGAUCAUUACUGAGUGCGGGCUGCCUCCGGGCGCCCAACCUCCCACCCGUGAAUACCUAACACUGUUGCUUCGGCGGGGAACCCCCUCGGGGGCGAGCCGCCGGGGACUACUGAACUUCAUGCCUGAGAGUGAUGCAGUCUGAGUCUGAAUAUAAAAUCAGUCAAAACUUUCAACAAUGGAUCUCUUGGUUCCGGCAUCGAUGAAGAACGCAGCGAACUGCGAUAAGUAAUGUGAAUUGCAGAAUUCAGUGAAUCAUCGAGUCUUUGAACGCACAUUGCGCCCCCUGGCAUUCCGGGGGGCAUGCCUGUCCGAGCGUCAUUGCUGCCCAUCAAGCCCGGCUUGUGUGUUGGGUCGUCGUCCCCCCCGGGGGACGGGCCCGAAAGGCAGCGGCGGCACCGUGUCCGGUCCUCGAGCGUAUGGGGCUUUGUCACCCGCUCGACUAGGGCCGGCCGGGCGCCAGCCGACGUCUCCAACCAUUUUCUUCAGGUGACCUCGGAUUCAAGGUAAGGGAAACCCCAG